GAUGCAACUAAACAGAGAACUUAUAUAGGCCCAAAAUUGGUUGGGCGUCUCUACCGGCUGCCGGAACAGCCGCGCUAUAAGUUUCCCGGUUUAUCCG
This 97-nucleotide non-coding RNA is filed under the name Pseudoflavonifractor capillosus. RNAcentral describes it as "Guanine sequence". It matches the Rfam family "Purine riboswitch aptamer". From Rfam's summary of the family: Riboswitches are metabolite binding domains within certain messenger RNAs that serve as precision sensors for their corresponding targets. Allosteric rearrangement of mRNA structure is mediated by ligand binding, and this results in modulation of gene expression. A class of riboswitches that selectively recognises guanine and becomes saturated at concentrations as low as 5 nM. RNAcentral also lists the same sequence under 1 other name. Lineage: Bacteria; Bacillati; Bacillota; Clostridia; Eubacteriales; Oscillospiraceae. The record is from RNAcentral.